This 183-nucleotide unclassified non-coding RNA is filed under the name rhizosphere metagenome. RNAcentral's name for it is "partial ribosomal RNA internal transcribed spacer region". The record is from RNAcentral.
CAAAAGGAUACCUUUAUGGUAUACCCCAUCCGUGUCUACAUACUCUUGUUGCUUUGGCAGGCCGUGGUCUUGACCCUGUGGGCUCUGCCUGCAUGUGCCUGCCAGAGGACCAAACUCUGAAUUUUAGUGAUGUCUGAGUACUAUAUAAUAGUUAAAACUUUCAACAACAGAUCUCUUGGUUCU